Molecule: ribosomal RNA, 308 nt
Filed under: Phelsuma parva
Lineage: Eukaryota; Metazoa; Chordata; Lepidosauria; Squamata; Gekkonidae
Description: partial large subunit ribosomal RNA
Rfam family: Bacterial large subunit ribosomal RNA
Source: RNAcentral
GAGGGCAUAACUGUCUCCUGUAGCCAAUCAAUGAAAUUGAUCUCACAGUACAAACGCUGUGAUAUAACUAUAAGACGAGAAGACCCUGUGGAGCUUUAAAUCUACCACAUUAACUAUAAUUAAAUUUACUAUAACAUAAUGUAAAUUUUAAGUUGGGGCGACUGUGGAGUAAAACAAAACCUCCAUGCAACACGACUAAACCUCGUUAUUUAAGGCUUACAAGCCCAAUCAAAACACACGACCCAGUCAAACUGAUCAACGAACCAAGUUACCCCAGGGAUAACAGCGCCAUCCCCUUAAAGAGUUCA